Mesocricetus auratus (golden hamster) is the source of this 2551-nucleotide long non-coding RNA. RefSeq lists it as uncharacterized. NCBI's taxonomy places the organism in Eukaryota, Metazoa, Chordata, Mammalia, Rodentia, Cricetidae. The transcript is spliced from 2 exons. The record is from RefSeq and is a predicted model, not a curated record.
UUCGUUUCUUCAGCUGUCUUGAGAUUCUAGUUUGGUUUGCUGGUUGUGAAGCUCUCAUACCAUUCCAGCCAACAAGUCACAUAACAAGGCUUGGGCUUCACGGUUGCUGUUUACAGCAUUGCUCAAGUUUGUGAUCUAGUUCUCUCUCUCUCUCUCUCUCUCUCUCUCUCUCUCUCUCUCUCUCUCUCUGUCAAAGCUGUUGUUGAACUUGGUUGUGCAAUAAUGGAAGUCAGUAUUUCCUCAACUAAGGGUCUUCCCUUGCUUCUUCUGACCUGCCCACCUGUCUGAGAGCCCAGAGAGGGGGCAUCUGACAGGUGUUAUGAGUGAAUAAUGGUCAUGUAGUUGUCAUUUUCUAGAAACCUGGAAGUUUAUGAAAAGUAUUUGGGGUUUUUCAAUGUUGGCAGCUAAUUAAAAACAUCUUAAAAGCCCCACAUGCUCUUGGAGGCCAGAGUUAGUCCACUGACCUCUGAGAUACGCUGGGUGUUCUAUACAUAGCCCAUUCCAAUUGCAAAAUCCACCAAGAGCCCCUGCAACUAACCUAAGUGGUUUUGCUCUGCUUGGACUGGUAGAAAAGACAAGAUUCCUGGACUGCUCUGAGUUGUGUAGCCAAAAGCUUUGUAGUCACUUAAUUUGGUCUGUGAUUGCUAGCUUGGGAGAUCCUUGACCAAGUUACAUCUUUUACAAGCCAAGUCCCAAGCAUGACUCUGUACCCCAUCCAAGUCCCCUGAGUGUUCUAGAGUCACUUUGGUCCUCUCUCCCUGACAUGUAGCCAGACUUGGUAGAUCUACAGAAAGUAUCCAUUUCCCUGGAGUAACAAAGCAGAGAAAAGUAGGGAAGUUACACUGUUCUCUCUUCUGCCCUCCCCUCCCCUCUCCCACCCUGUGUCACCUAGGGUCCUAGCACUGGACAAAGCUCCUUGUUUUAGGCUGCCGUGUAUCUGCAAGUGACCAAAUGUUUCUCUCUCAAUACUCCCUUUGUACACAAUGAUUCGGCUGGUAUUUGUUUCUAAUAAUAGAUUGGUAACAGAUACCCUCGUUGUUGGGCACUGGGUACAUGCAGCACAAAUUAAAAAUCCAAGACAAAGGGUUCAAAUGCCUGGCAACUUUAACAACAACUCUUACUGCUGGGAACAGACCUCAUGUUGUGCUGGGCAAGUGAGGGGCGGACUCCUGUAAGGCUGUGGAACUGAGUUCAUAGAGAGGAUGUCAUUGGGAAGUAGGUGGGGCUCCAGGAAUAUAGAUAACCAGGAGUCUAGAAGUUCAUGUGAACACAAGCAAUAGUACACAGGUCUGUAGUGGAAAUGCCAAUAUCUAGUCACCCCCAGACCCAGGAGAAUCAGGUAGCAAGGCUAGAUUCUUCCCUGGGCUCGCCUGGUGACGCUCCCUGUCAUGGUUUCCAUUUCCCUCAACGAGGCCUGCUUUAACAUGUCAGAGGAGGUUGUGGGCUAUGAACCUUUCGGGUCUAAGUCUGAACACCUAGGACUUGCUUCCCCCUGCCUUGUCCUCAUUAUGCAUUUAUUUCCCUCUUUGAGGCAAUUUUAAGUGUUUUUUUUUUUAAUCCACCAAUGUGUCUUUUCUCUCUUUUGAAAUUUUACUUGCCUGGCAAAUGUGGGGGUCAACCAUGAUCACUGAGGAGGAGAAUGUCCGCCUGUAUGUGUGACCUCCGACGGUCAAGUCACUUGCUGAUGGAGCUAUUGGGAACAUUUCCUGCCCACGUGACUCAGUAUUCAGAGGCAAAAGUCUCUACUUCAUUUGAACGGAGUCGGGUGGGAAGAUGCUCAAGAAGGACACCAGCCUUUUCUUCUCUGAGCAGAUGGCUUCCAGUGACUGGAUGAUCUUAGCAGCCUUCAGGUAGAAGACUGAAAUGAAGACACGUAUCCCGAUCUGGAGACGUGCCUUUGGGUCUUUUCCUGCAUGAUUACUCGAAGCUUCUGUCAUGCACUGUACUAGGAGCAGCAAGCAAGGGCAUUGGAGCCACACAUGGCAGCAGGAAGAAAAUCCUACUAAGGGUUUUCCUACAGUAUUUACUUGAUGAGUUGACUGCAUGGUCCAAACUUCAGGGGCAUGAAAUACUAUUUGAUUUUUAUGUAUGUGAAUGCAUGUGCAUAUAUUUGAAGGUACUCAUGGAGCCUGGAGGACAACCUGAAGUGCACUUCAGGGAUAUUAUCUCCUUUGAGAGCAGAUCUCUCCCUGGCCAGGUGUUCCCUAAGUAAGCUAGACUGGCUAAGCAGCGAGUCCCAGAAUCCUCUUGACUCGUCCUCAUGGCACUGCGAUGAUUUUUGUAUGGAUUCUGGGACUGAACUUGCCUUUGAUCAUAUCUGGGUCUUCCUGUUUGUGAGGCAGGCAGUUUUCUGCUCCCCAGCAACAAUGCUAUUUACUUUUAAAGGACCUCAGCUCAGCGUCCCUGAAGUGCUCGGCCAUUUACUGUUGGUUUCCUUUAUUAUAACCUCAUGAGGGAGGUGGUCAGAAAGGGGGCGGCUGUGUCUAAAGUUGUCUAAUACUAUUAGUUUUCAACUUUUUUAGUGUGAUAAAAUACAGAAUUUACCAUCUCA